Molecule: non-coding RNA, 354 nt
Organism: Homo sapiens (human)
Lineage: Eukaryota; Metazoa; Chordata; Mammalia; Primates; Hominidae
Source: the annotation of a RefSeq genome assembly
AUGCAGUGGGCCCUAGCGGUGCUUCUAGCUUUCCUGUCUCCUGCCAGUCAGAAAUCUUCCAACUUGGAAGGGAGAACGAAGUCAGUCAUCAGGCAGACUGGGUCAUCUGCUGAAAUCACUUGUGAUCUUGCUGAAGGAAGUACCGGCUACAUCCACUGGUACCUACACCAGGAGGGGAAGGCCCCACAGCGUCUUCUGUACUAUGACUCCUACACCUCCAGCGUUGUGUUGGAAUCAGGAAUCAGCCCAGGGAAGUAUGAUACUUACGGAAGCACAAGGAAGAACUUGAGAAUGAUACUGCGAAAUCUUAUUGAAAAUGACUCUGGAGUCUAUUACUGUGCCACCUGGGAUGGG